RNAcentral lists this ribosomal RNA (1334 nucleotides) under Clostridioides difficile. RNAcentral's name for it is "bacterial LSU rRNA". It matches the Rfam family "Bacterial large subunit ribosomal RNA", at positions 1280 to 2623 of the family's 2925-position model. Lineage: Bacteria; Bacillati; Bacillota; Clostridia; Peptostreptococcales; Peptostreptococcaceae. The record is from RNAcentral.
GUAUGGGAGUGAGAAUGUUGGCAUGAGUAGCGAGAUGUGGGUGAGAAUCCCACAGGCCGUAAACCCAAGGUUUCCAGGGGAAGGUUCGUCCGCCCUGGGUUAGUCGGGACCUAAGCUGAGGCCGAAAGGCGUAGGUGAUGGACAACAGGUUGAUAUUCCUGUACUACCGAUAACCGUUUGAGAGAAGGGAUGACACAGUAGGAUAAGCUAAGCACACUGUUGGUUAUGUGUGCCCAAGCAUUGAGGCAGUCAAAGUAGGCAAAUCCGCUUUGAUAAUGCUGGGAUGUGAUGGGGAGCGAAAUUUAGUAGCGAAGUAGCUGAUUUCACACUGUCAAGAAAAGUCUCUAUCGAGGUUAAAGGUACCCGUACCGCAAACCGACACAGGUGGGUGAGGAGAGUAUCCUAAGGCCAGCGAGAGAACUGUUGUUAAGGAACUCGGCAAAAUGACCCCGUAACUUAGGGAUAAGGGGUGCCACCAUCAGGUGGCCGCAGAGAAUAGGCCCAAGCGACUGUUUACCAAAAACAUAGGUUUCUGCUAAGUCGCAAGACGAUGUAUAGGAGCUGACGCCUGCCCGGUGCUGGAAGGUUAAGGGGAUCUGUUAGAGCAAUCGAAGCAGUGAACUUAAGCCCCAGUAAACGGCGGCCGUAACUAUAACGGUCCUAAGGUAGCGAAAUUCCUUGUCGGGUAAGUUCCGACCCGCACGAAAGGCGUAACGAUUUGGGCACUGUCUCAACAACAGACUCGGUGAAAUUGUAAUUCCGGUGAAGAUGCCGGAUACCUGCGACAGGACGGAAAGACCCCAUGGAGCUUUACUGUAGCUUGACAUUGGGUCUUGGUACUACAUGUACAGGAUAGGUGGGAGGCUUUGAAACCAGGACGCCAGUUUUGGCGGAGCCAUCCUUGGGAUACCACCCUUGUAGUACUGGGACUCUAACCAUAGGCCAUGAAUCUGGUCUUGGGACACUGUCAGGUGGGCAGUUUGACUGGGGCGGUCGCCUCCCAAAAGGUAACGGAGGCGCUCAAAGGUUCUCUCAGUACGGUCGGAAAUCGUACGUAGAGUGUAAAGGCAAAAGAGAGCUUGAUUGCAAGACAUACAGGUCGAGCAAGGAUGAAAAUCGGACUUAGUGAUCCGGUGGUUCUGCGUGGAAGGGCCAUCGCUCAACGGAUAAAAGCUACCCUGGGGAUAACAGGCUUAUCUCCCCCAAGAGUCCACAUCGACGGGGAGGUUUGGCACCUCGAUGUCGGCUCAUCACAUCCUGGGGCUGUAGUAGGUCCCAAGGGUUGGGCUGUUCGCCCAUUAAAGUGGUACGCGAGCUGGGUUCAGAACGUCGUG